AUUGAACGCUGGCGGAAUGCUUUACACAUGCAAGUCGAGCGGCAGCACGGGGGCAACCCUGGUGGCGAGCGGCGAACGGGUGAGUAACACAUCGGAACAUGCCCAGUCGUGGGAGAUAACACUUCGAAAGAAGUGCUAAUACCGCAUACGUCCUGAGGGAGAAAGCGGGGGAUCGCAAGACCUCGCGCGAUUGGAGUGGCCGAUGUCAGAUUAGCUAGUUGGUGGGGUAAAGGCCUACCAAGGCAACGAUCUGUAGCUGGUCUGAGAGGAUGAUCAGCCACCUUGGAAUGAGGAACCGGCCCAGAUCCCUACGGGAGGCAGAGUGGGGAAAUUUUGGAAAAGGGGGGCAACCCUGUUCAAGCCAUUCCGCGGGAGUGAAGAAGGCCUCCGGUUUGUAAAGCGUUUUCGGCAGGAACGAAAGGGUGGGCUCUACAUAGCUUGCUAAUGACGGUACCUGAAGAAGAAGCACCGGCUAACUACGUG
RNAcentral lists this ribosomal RNA (483 nucleotides) under uncultured bacterium. RNAcentral describes it as "partial 16S ribosomal RNA". It matches the Rfam family "Bacterial small subunit ribosomal RNA", at positions 29 to 507 of the family's 1533-position model. The record is from RNAcentral.